This 233-nucleotide ribosomal RNA is filed under the name uncultured bacterium. Its description in RNAcentral is "partial 16S ribosomal RNA". It matches the Rfam family "Bacterial small subunit ribosomal RNA", at positions 524 to 744 of the family's 1533-position model. The record is from RNAcentral.
UACGUAGGGUGCAAGCGUUUGUCCGGAUUAUUGGGCGUAAAGAGCUCGUAGGCGGUUUGUCGCGUCGGAUGUGAAACCCAGGCUCGAACCCUGGGCCUGCAUUCGAUACGGGCAAGACGUAGAGUAUGGGCAGGGGAGACUGGGAAUUCCUGGGUGAUAGCGGUGAAAUGACGCAGAGUAUCAGGAGGGAACAACCGAUGGGCGAAGGCAGGUCUCUGGGCCGACUAACUGAC